Molecule: long non-coding RNA, 969 nt
Organism: Hyla sarda
Lineage: Eukaryota; Metazoa; Chordata; Amphibia; Anura; Hylidae
Exons: 4
Source: RefSeq, a predicted model, not a curated record
CGCUGCCUACCUCGGCCCAGCUACUCACACAGCUCUUCCUCCAGGCUCCGGACUGUUCCUUCUGCAAUGUCUCAGGCGGCGACAGUGUCUGGUGCAUUCAGUAGGGGUCACACAAGGUCUGCCUCUGUAAGGGUCAGUGUGUCCCUCUGAUUCUGCUCCCUUCCAAUCCCUGACUGGCAUCACCUAUUAUUUAAGAGCUCUUCACUCACCGUUCCUUGCCUGAGCAAUAUUGUAGUUUCUGCAAGCGAAAAUGUUAUCUGCUGUGUUCCUGCAUUCCAGUUUGCUGACCUUCAUCUUGGCCAGGAACUGAUCACUUUGCUUCUGUUUAUCCUCUCUAGUGUAUGAUCUUGUACUUUUAGACUAAGCCUCACUCUUCCAGCAAGCUGUUUUAACAGCACCAGCUCUGCUAAAUCACCUGGCCUGCUGUUUCAAACUCCAUCUCCAGUGUCAGCUCGCUCUUCCCUGCCUGUAUCCCCAAUGCAUGGUUCUGCUCAGCUGCCACUUACCGGAAGCACUCUUGUGGCAGCGACCUGGUGUUCCCUGAAGUUAAAACAAACUUCCGCAUCCUGGAGCAAGAUAAAAGGUGAACACCAGGGGAACCCUUAGACUCUGCUCCCAAGUUUGGCCCUACACCUAACCGGAUUUAGGAAUCCUAUUGCUGGACCUUGAAGUGGGUGAAAAACAAGGAGUUUCUUUCAGCAAAUCACUGGGCUUGGAAUUCUUUUUUUGAGACCAGUGGAGUUCAAAUAUGGUGCGAUUCAUCCUGCGCAAUUCGCGCGACAUGUUCCUGUUCUCCUUGGCCAGCCUUUGGUUUUCUUUUACAACCUGCAGCACUCUCGGACGACAUAUGAGGACCACCAAGGCCUGUCUCACUCCGACCCUCCGGCAGUAGAUGUUUCCGGAACUCCUGCUCCCACUUCCUGAAUGCCUUUUUCUUUUUGAUUUUCCGCAGGAUGGAUGCUUUGCAGU